This is a long non-coding RNA of Thalassophryne amazonica, 149 nucleotides long. RefSeq lists it as uncharacterized. Lineage: Eukaryota; Metazoa; Chordata; Actinopteri; Batrachoidiformes; Batrachoididae. The transcript has 3 exons. The record is from RefSeq and is a predicted model, not a curated record.
GUUAUUUAAUAUUAUAUUAUGUGUGUGAAUUUGUGGUACCUGUUCAGGGCAUCCUUUUUGUGCUCUUCGCUCCUCGCCUCUCUGGCUGGGUAAGGCGCUGAUCUUCGAAGUAACCGCUGCUGUUGAGCACUAAACAACGCGAGGGGAAA